Molecule: ribosomal RNA, 823 nt
Filed under: Agrococcus sp.
Lineage: Bacteria; Bacillati; Actinomycetota; Actinomycetes; Micrococcales; Microbacteriaceae
Description: bacterial SSU rRNA
Rfam family: Bacterial small subunit ribosomal RNA
Source: RNAcentral
UUGGGCGUAAGAGCUCGUAGGCGGUUUGUCACGUCUGCUGUGAAAUCCCGAGGCUCAACCUCGGGCUUGCAGUGGGUACGGGCAGACUAGAGUGCGGUAGGGGAGAUUGGAAUUCCUGGUGUAGCGGUGGAAUGCGCAGAUAUCAGGAGGAACACCGAUGGCGAAGGCAGAUCUCUGGGCCGUAACUGACGCUGAGGAGCGAAAGCAUGGGGAGCAAACAGGCUUAGAUACCCUGGUAGUCCAUGCCGUAAACGUUGGGAACUAGAUGUGGGGACCAUUCCACGGUCUCCGUGUCGUAGCUAACGCAUUAAGUUCCCCGCCUGGGGAGUACGGCCGCAAGGCUAAAACUCAAAGGAAUUGACGGGGGCCCGCACAAGCGGCGGAGCAUGCGGAUUAAUUCGAUGCAACGCGAAGAACCUUACCAAGGCUUGACAUAUACGAGAACGCACUGGAGACAGUGAACUCUUUGGACACUCGUAUACAGGUGGUGCAUGGUUGUCGUCAGCUCGUGUCGUGAGAUGUUGGGUUAAGUCCCGCAACGAGCGCAACCCUCGUCCUAUGUUGCCAGCACGUAAUGGUGGGAACUCAUGGGAUACUGCCGGGGUCAACUCGGAGGAAGGUGGGGAUGAGGUCAAAUCAUCAUGCCCCUUAUGUCUUGGGCUUCACGCAUGCUACAAUGGCCAGUACAAUGGGCUGCGAUACCGUAAGGUGGAGCGAAUCCCAAAAAGCUGGUCUCAGUUCGGAUUGAGGUCUGCAACUCGACCUCAUGAAGUCGGAGUCGCUAGUAAUCGUAGAUCAGCAACGCUACGGUGAAUACGUUCCC